Molecule: long non-coding RNA, 536 nt
Filed under: Gallus gallus (chicken)
Lineage: Eukaryota; Metazoa; Chordata; Aves; Galliformes; Phasianidae
Description: long non-coding RNA NONGGAT005791
Source: RNAcentral
CGUUAGGACUCGCGGCCCCGCCCAGCCCUCAGCGCCUCACGGUAGAUGGAGGCGGUGGUGCCACGCUUGGACGCGGUAGCCGAAGCGAAUGCAAAUGAGCAAAUCCAAAAGCGACAGAGUUAGUGAUUUUUCCAGUCGUGUCCUCGUCGCAGUGUUUGUACUUUACAUGCGGUUAUAAUACUGGUGAUUGUACAUUAUGCUUGCUCUGUGCUUCCAUAGUACGCUUGCUCAGGGGAGGAGUCUUACUGACCUAUAGGUGUGAUUUUUGGUAUCAUAAUGCAGACAGGUAACAACUCAGCUCUGGACAGAACUGCAUGGGUGAGAGAAGAAGUCACCUGCCACGUCCCUUCUUGUCCCUGACUGCUCUGCUAACACCACUUGCAGAGAUGGCAUUUGAAAGGCCAGCUUGUGCCCACAGACAACUCAAAAUGAGGAAUCACAGAACUAUUACGCUUGGAACAGACCUCUAAGAUCAUCUAGUCUGACCAUAAACUCAUCAUCAGAGAUUUGCAUGGCUUAUCCAUCUGGACUCCAAG